UGUAGGUAAGUUUCGAGAUCCCGGACAACUUCCUAGUUCCACCAUUCCAAAUCCGAAGGGAGGUUUCGAAAGUGCAAAAGCAAUCACCCUAAGAAGUGGUAAGGAAGUUGGGGCAGGUCCUACAUAAAAAACAGGUCAUAAUGAGGAUGAACUUUUGCAAUUGGAAGAGGAGGCAUCAAGGCUGCCCACGGCAAAGGUGGUUCCACCUUUGCCGCAAGCUCCUAAUGUCCCAAAUUUGCCCACUUCGUCCCACAAAGGUAAGAAUGUGUCCAAUUCAGUUCAUACUAAUGUUUUCCCUUCAAAUGUGCCUUUUCCUAGUAGGUUCAUGCAAACGAAGAAAGAAGAGGCAGAAAAGGAUAUCCUUGAAACCUUUAGGAAAGUUCAAGUUAACAUACCUCUAUUAGAUGCAAUCAAGCAAGUUCCGAGGUAUGCUAAGUUCUUGAAGGAGUUGUGUACUACGAGGAAGAGGAUGGCGACCAAGGAAGUGGUAAAGGUAGGUGAGAUGUGUCCGCCAUCUUGCACGCAAACAACCUCCAAAUGCAAAGAUCCAGGUAGCUUUGCCAUUCCUUGUGUCAUUGGAAUACUAGAUUUGAAUCUGCCAUGCUUUGAUUAGGUGCUUCUAUAAUGUUAUGCCAUUUCCAUUUAUGCAUCUAUGAACUUAGGAGCAUUGAAAAAUGAUGGGGUAAUAAUACAAUUUGGCCGAUAGAUCUAACUCCUAUCCAAGGGAGUUUUGAAGAUGUUCUUGUGCAGGUUAAUCCAUUUAGUCUUCCCAGCGGAUUUCUAUGUCCUCUAAUGGAUGAAUCGGACCAUGCUCCUUCGCUGCCCAUGUCUACUUGGAAGGCCAUUUCCAUGAAGACGGCCCGGACGAAGAUUGACUGUAUAGUGGAACUUUGUCCAUGGAAUUCGAUGGUGGAAGUUGUUAAUUUAAUCUUUCUGAUUCCAUUAAAUACCUAGUGAGGACCAUUCAUGCUUUUCUAUUAUAUAUUGACUCUUUGCGCAGGGAUUAUCUCGACGAUUUAAAUGAAGAUGCGCUUGAAAAAAGUCAUUACACAAGGCAUGGAACUCAAAACACAGGGGCUGAUUGCAGCAUGCCCACGGCAUACAUGAGUUAUCCAUGCCGUGCCCCCUAGUGAGGAAUACUUGAAGUUGUGGCUGGCCCUUGAGAGUCCUCACCUAAGCUUGAUGGUUAAGUAUACUAACCGUGAGUCAUUCCCAUUGCGACUAACAAAUGCUUCAUCUAUAAUUCAGUGCACCUAUCCUUGAACUCAAGCCUUUGCCAAGCCAUCUGAAGUACAUUUUCUUGGGAGAAAAUGAAACACUACCUGCCAUCAUUUCUCCUCCCUCACGCACAAGAAGAGGAGAAGUUGCUUCGAGUUUUGAAGCGAGUUCAAAUAUGCCCUAGGUUGGACAUUGGCCGAUAUUAAAGGUAUAAGCCCUACAACUUGUAUGCAUCACAUAUUCUCUUUGAGGAGGGGCCAAACCAACUAGAGAGGCUCAACGCCAUCUUAACCCUCUGAUGAUGGAAGUAGUGAAAAAGGAGAUCAUUAAAAGCUUCUAGAUUGUGGGGGUUAUCUAUCCAAUCUCGGAUAGUAAGUGGGUUUCGCCCGUUCAAUGCGUGCCAAAGAAAUCCGGAGUGACGGUGGUAGCUAAUGCCGAGAAUGAGCUUGUUCCUCAACGUAUUCAAACCGGUUGGAGGGUGUGCAUUGACUAUAGGAAGCUAAACACCACCACGAGGAAGGACAACUUCCCAUUGCCAUUCAUUGACCAAAUGCUUGAGAGGUUAGCGGGUUAUGUUUUUUAUUUUUCUUGAUGGUUAUUCUGGUUAUAAUCAAAUUGUCAUUUCACCGAGGACCAAGAAAAAAACCACUUUUACAUGCCCGUUUGGUACCUUUGCAUAUCGUCGCAUGCCUUUUGGUUUAUGUAAUGCACCUGCUACAUUUCAAAGAUGCAUGAUGAGCAUAUUUUCUGAUCACGUAGAAAAGAUAAUUGAAGUGUUUAUGGAUGAUUUUAGCGUAUUUGGUGAUUCGUUUAAUAGUUGCUUGCAUAAUCUAAGUUUGAUCCUAAAACGUUGUGUUGAAACUAACCUUGUACUUAAUUGGGAAAAGUGUCAUUUUAUGGUUAAACAAGGUAUCGUUUUAGGUCAUAUAAUCUCUGAAAAGGGUAUUGAGGUUGAUAAGUCGAAAAUAGAUCUUGUACGUCACUUACCUCUCCGACUUCGGUUAGAGAGGUUCGUUCGUUUCUUGGCCAUGCAGGAUUUUAUCGUAGGUUUAUCAAAGAUUUCUCGAAGGUAGCACAACCUCUUUGCCGGCUCCUACAAAAAGAAGUGGCGUUUGAAUUCACCAAGGAGUGCACGGCAUCAUUCAACCAACUCAAGGAGUUGUUGACCACGGCACCCAUCAUUGUUCCACCGGAUUGGAGUCUACCGUUCGAGCUCAUGUGUGAUGCGUCCGACUAUGCUUUAGGAGCUGUUUUAGGACAAAGAAAGGACAAGAGGCCGCAUGUUCAUUUACUACGCCCACGGACCGUUGAACGAUGCACAAUUGAACUACUCCACUACGGAAAAAGAACUCCUUGCCGUUGUCUUUGCUUUAGAUAAAUUUCGAUCAUAUUAAUUGGAACUAAAGUAAUUGUUUUCACUGAUCAUUGCAGCUCUGAAGUACUUGCUCACCAAAAAGAGGCCAAGCCACGGCUAAUUCGAUGGAUAUUGCUACUUCAAGAGUUCGAUAUAGAGAUUCGGGACAAGAAGGGAAGUGAAAACGUGGUGGCUGACCACCUAAGCCGAAUGGUGCAUAAUGAGGAGUCUUUGCCGAUUUUGGAGACAUUCCCUGAUAGGAGCAUAUUUAUGCGCCUUAGUUAGCUAGUUCUUAUGCAUCUUUGUUAUGUUUUCUUCGUUAAAGUAUCUUUUAAGCUACUUUCAUGUGUUUUCAGGUUAAAGGACAUAUUACAUGAAAUGAUGCAAUUUGGAGCUUUUGGAGCAAAAAGUGAGCUUGGAAUGAAAAGGACAUGCUUGGAACACAAGGUUGGGAUGAAAUCGAAGAGUUCGAGAUUUGAGGUUUCCUACUUGAAGUAGGAAAGCUAAGCCUAAAAGUUUCCAUUUUGGGUUGAUCUUUCCUAAAUCGGAAUGGCAACCAAAGUUUCUAAAGUUGGAAGUUCUAUUCUUGGAGGUUUCCAUUUUCGUGAGUUUCUAUUCUCGGCUUGGGCUUUUAGAUGACUUAAACCUAAUUCCUUGUGAACCCUAAGUCCAUGCCGCAUCCUAGGGCCUAAUCAUUCAAUUUCUGCCAUGUUAAACCCUAAUCCAUUUCUCCUAAGCCAUGCCGCACCUAAUGUUCUAGAAACCCAAUUUUCUGGUGGAUUUCCAACCCUAGCCGCACCUAACCCUAGCCCAUUGUCUAAUCUGAUUUCUUUAGGGUUUAGGUGCCUAUAUAUAUGUGUUUUACAUCCUUUGGCCGAUCCUCUCUCCCUCUCCACAAAUCAGAAACCAUCCAACCCUUAUUCCCCCACCUUGCCGCAGCCACCAUCACCCUUGGAACCCCUAGCCGCCACACCUUCAUCCAUUCCAGCCACUUCCCAUCCUUGCCGCAGCCUUCAUCCACCUCUAGCCACCAUCCUACACCUCCAUACACCAUCCCCACUCCUUGCCGCACCACCAUACCAUCCUAAUUCCCUUCUAAAACCAAAAUCACACCCAAAAACACCCUAAACCCUCUCUGCCGCAGCAAGGAGAAGAAGAAAGAGGAGCUUGAAGUCAGAAAUUCAAAGUGGAAUUCUUGGGCGUUUUAGGUGUAAUCUUUCUUAUGUCUUCGAUGUUUCAAUUCAAUAAACUUUAUGUUGUGAGUAUGAGGAACUAAACCCCCUUGGUUGGGGGGUAAUUCGAAACCAUGUACAUGCUUGCAAUUUGAUUCGAUUACAUUCAGUUGUUAUUUCAUAAGUUGUGGAUUCAAUUCAUUCAUCUAUUUGAUUGAUAACUUAUUUGUGUAUGUUGAUUGAGAGUGCACGCUUAGUUUUCAUGCAUGAAUAUGAUGCUAGAUUAUGAGGGAGUUUCACCUAAUAGUUACAAUCUUAUAAUCACAAGUAGUGAAGAUCGCUUGAAAACGAUCGCGUUGAAUGAAUUCUUAGCAUAAGUUUCAUGCAAUUCAUAGUAACAAAUGCUUCGUCAAUGCUUAUGUUUUUCAGAGAACGUAAUGUUUCUUGCUUGUAUCUCUAUUAUGCAAUUCAUGUAGGGAUUGUAGGGAAUGUUUGGGUUUGCGUAUGCAAUCAUCCACCCUAUAUAACUUGUGGAAAAACUGAGGGUUAAAUUAGUGCAAUUCACACGGUUAAUUUGGGGCGUUGAGUAUUCAUAAUUUUAUUGGAAGAACAACUGAAAAUCGUUUUUGUUUGCAAGUGUGACAUGUGUGGAGAAGAACCUCCUAACUAGCCUUUUUAUCCAUCUAUUUCACCAAAAUCGUUUUUUACAAUCUGUGCUAGUUAAAGUUUCUGUUUGUGUUAAAUUUUCGUCCAAAAACAAAUCCCCUUUAAUUUGAAGUCUUAGAUUAGUUAGAAAGUGUUUUGAUUUGUGUUUCUUAAGUAUUUUUGAUUCAAGAUUUCAUCAAAUUUCGUCCAAAUUAGUGUAGGUGCUCAAAACUGCCCAGAAAGUGUUUUUAGGCAGUUUUGAGCCUUCUAGUUGCUGUUUUGAGUUUUAGGUUUGUUUAAGUGUUUUAACCUUUACUUUGCAUUCUUUGAGUCUAAGUUAGUGUGUUUAAACUUUGUUUUUGAGUUUAAGUCAGUUUCCAAGUGUUUUAGCAAUCCCUCCUAAUCCCCCGUCUAGAACGAUCCCUACUUACAUCUUUACUACAAUUUGACAAAAAGAGGGUUUAAUUUGUGUGCUUAUCUAUUUCGCAUCAUUCCCCGAUGAACAAUUGCUGUCCAUUAAGGUUAGUGCGCCUUGGUAUGCCGAUAUUGUUAAUUUUUUAGUGUCAAAACGUAUUCCAAGUGAGUUCACUAGGCACCAACGUGAAUAAACUUAGGCAUGAUGCACGGUUUAUGUGUGGGAUGAUCCAUACUUAUGGAAAUUUUGCCCCGAUCAGAUUGUACGUCGUUGUGUGCACGAUUCUGAAUGUCAUUCAAUUUUGAGUUUUUGUCACACAUAUGCAUGUGGAGGGCACUUUGGCACACAACGCACAACCCUUAAGGUGUUACAAUAUGGAUUUUAUUGGCCUAGUAUUUUCAAAGAUGCUAAAACUUUUUGCUUAACAUGUGAUAAAUGCCAACGAAUGGGUGGUAUUAGUGCUAGGGACCAAAUGCCGCAGGUUUCUAUCCUAAAUGUUGAAAUUUUUUAUGUUUGGGGUAUUGAUUUUAUGGGUCCUUUUCCUUCUUCGUAUGGUUUUACAUAUAUUUUGCUUGCGGUUGAUUAUGUGUCGAGGUGGGUGGAAGCAAAGGCCACCCGAACUAAUGAUUCUAAAGUGGUUGCAGAUUUUAUUAGAACUAACAUUUUUGCAAGGUUCGGAAUGCCACGAGUGAUCAUUAGUGACGGAGGGUCACACUUUUGCAAUCGGACCAUUGAAGCGUUAUUGAGGAAAUACAGUGUCACCCAUAAGGUUUCUACACCUUACCAUCCUCAAACGAAUGGGCAAGCCGAGGUUUCCAACCGUGAGAUCAAGCAAAUCUUAGAGAAGACCGUUGGGCCAACGAGGAAGGAUUGGAGCUUACGGUUAGAUGAUGCACUUUGGGCGUAUCGCAAGGCAUGCCAUCUUCCUGUUGAAUUGGAGCACAAAGCACUUUGGGCCAUCAAGAAGUUUAACAUGAACCUCGAGGAAGCAGGAAGUCAAAGGAGAUUGCAAUUGAAUGAGCUUGAUGAGAUACGGCACGAGGCGUACGAUAAUGCAAGCAUUUACAAGCAAAAGACCAAAGCUUUCCAUGACAACAUGAUCCGUGGGAAAUCAUUCUCAAUUGGGCAGAAAGUGCUAUUGUUCAAUUCCCGUUUACGUUUGUUUCCCGGUAAGUUACGUUCUAAGUGGAUUGGACCGUUUGUUAUUACUAACAUAUCUUCUUAUGGUGCCAUCUAGAUUCAAAGUCUCAAAACAGGUCAUGAAUUCCAAGUGAACGGACACCGUUUGAAGCCAUAUUAUGAGAACUUUGUUGAACAAACCGUGGAUGAUAUUUCUUUGGGUGCCGUGGGCACAAAUGGAGAAUAAAUGGGCUUUUCGUCCGGCUGUACGACGUUAAAGAAAGCGCUACUUGGGAGGCAACCCAUGCAAUGCAACAAAGGAAGACCACGGAAUCACUCCAAUUCCAGAUUUGCGUUCCUAAACUCUUCCCUUUGUUAUUUAUUUCGAAUCUGCCUAUUUAGUUGUUUUAGUUGCUGUUUGGGUGUUUCUUUUUGUUUAGUGUGAUUUUAUGCUUGAAACAUUGAGGACAAUGUUUGAUUUAAGUGUGGGAGGGUAACUAAGUGUUUUAGAUGCAAAUUCGUGGGAUUUUAUCACCCUAAACUUGAAGACUUGUUCCUUGCUGUUUUUAAGUGUUUUUGAGCAGUUUUGAUGUGUUUUAGUGUGUUUUGAAGUAAAAAUCCGAAAAUUACAUAAAAAUUUGAAAAAUUUGUUUUAAAAACCCAAAAAGAGUUGUUUUUGUGUGUUUGUUUGUGUCUUAGGGUACCUUCCAACAUAAUGAUGAGGAUUCGGUUUGUAAUUACAUGACUGUUAAAGAGAGUGAUUAACAUGGAUGAAAGUUUGAUUUACUCUUUGUUAUGCUUAGUUGUGGAUAUAACUUAUGAAUUCACAUGCAAUCAUAAAAGAAAAAAAUCAGUUUUUGUAACAUGCUUGAAGGAAGGAACUCAAACUAACGCUACAACCUUAUGAGACUUGAGCCUAAAUGUUUAUUUGGAGAGUUAAAAUCUGUGCAUUCUUUGUUUUCUAAGUCGUUGCAUGAUCUCAUUAUUCCUUGCUUGGUUGCUACUUAGAAGGCGUUUCAUCAUUUAGUUCCAAAUGCUAGAACUCAUGCCCAUUUCAUUCAAAGCAUGUUAUUGAUUUGCAUAACACAUAUUCAAGAUGAAGUUGUGUAGUGACCACCACCUUAGCCAAAAAGCCAUGAAUCCCCUAUGUCAUUAUGUUUUGUAGGUUUUAACCCCGUUGAGCCUUGUUUAGCCUAUGUUGUUGUUAACCCACAUUAUCCUCACCUAGCCUAGUUUAGGACCAUCCAUACCCUUGUUCUUAAAGCAUAGUAAAGCAUGAUUCGAAUUGAAUUCCUUUUGAUCUAUGUUGGCAGAAACCAAGUGUGGGGGAAGUAUUUUUCAUGAGGAAUUGUGUGCCAUAGGCACGUGUGGAAAGAAAAGAAAAGAAAAAAAUUCGUGGAAAAAGAAAAAUGAAGAAAAAAGUGUGAAAAGUAUGAAAAAAGAGUUGAAAAGAUGUGAAAAAGAGUUCAAAGUAUUGUUUGUUGAAGUAAGGGUCCAAAGCAAUGAAUUCGGCCCUAAAGAGUUAUCUAAAUCUUUCCCUUGUGUUUUAAAGUUAAUUUCUGCAAUCUAAGUGAAUUCUAAGCCUCAAUUUCACGACUUUGCUUACUAAUGCUUGAAGAACAUUUGUUUUCCCUAUCCUUUCUUUGUUAACCAAUACCCAAAGCCUCGUUACAACCCUUAACUUCUAUCUUGAGUGUUAUGUGUUUCAAUUUGUGGAGUUUGAAUUUGGUAUGAGCAUAUGGUGUCACUGGUUCUCGCAUCUAAGUAGUAGCAUCCCAUUCAUGAGAUCAUAUCUAAACAUGCUUCUUAACUCUAGAAAUUGCGUUCUUUGUGAUACAUAUAUGUGAGCAUUCGUUUUCAUAUCUUCAUCAAUCUUCUCACAUAUGACUAGUGUAGGGUGUGGAGUUAGAAAAUCUGAGUGAAAAUAGAGUGUAUAUCUUGUAAGGAAUUGAGGGAAUUCUCUAAGGCAUGUUACUACAUUCAAAGCAUUGUUUUGAUUGAUUACUUGUGAAUUAGUAAGUGGUGGCUUUAAUUAAGUAUGUGCUUGUGUAAAGAUGACUCAAAUCUGUGGGGAUAACAAUCUUUAACAUGUCAUGUGCAUUGGAAAUCCCUGAGGCAAACGUUGGAAGGUUUAGGUUUUGUUUUGGUUAAGUUGGUUUCGUUUUGUUUCCUUUCUUUUGUUUGUUUUGCUCGAGGACUAGCAAAAGCUAAGUGUGGGGGAAUUUGAUAGGAGCAUAUUUAUGCGCCUUAGUUAGCUAGUUCUUAUGCAUCUUUGUUAUGUUUUCUUCGUUAAAGUAGUCUUUUAAGCUACUUUCAUGUGUUUUCAGGUUUAAAGGACAUAUUACAUGAAAUGAUGCAAGUUGGAGCUUUUGGAGCAAAAUGUGAGCUUGAAUUGAAAAGGACAUGCUUGGAACACAAGGAUGGGAUGGAAUUGAAGAGUUGAAGAUUUUGAGGUUUCCUACUUGAAGUAGGAAAGCUAAGCCUAAAAGUUUCCAUUUUGGGUUGAUCUUUCCUAAAUCGGAAUUGGCAACCAAAGUUUCUAAAGUUGGAAGUUUCUAUUCUUGGAGGUUUCCAUUUUCGUGAGUUUCUAUUCUCGGCUUUGGGCUUUUGGAUGACCCAUCCUCACUUCUUGGACCUAUGCCGCACCUUAACCCUAAUCCUAGCCCAUUUAAUCAGCCACACCCUAGGGCCUAAUCAUUUAAAUUCUGCCAAGUUAAACCCUAAUCUAUCUACCCUAAGCCCAAGCCGCACCCUAGGCCUUUUCCCAUGCAAAAAUCUGAUUGUAAACCCUAAUUCCUUGUGGAUUUUCUAACCCUAGCCGCACCUAAACCCUAGCCCAUUGUCUAACCUGAUUUCUUUAGGGUUUUAGGUGCCUAUAUAUAUGUGUUUUACAUCCUUUGGCCGAACAUCACCCUCUCCAUAAUUCAGAAAAUUCGUCCAGCCACUUCCCACUCUUUGCCGCAACCAUUCUACAACUCCAGCCACCAUUCUCCACCUCCAUACACCAUUCUACACCUCCAUACACCACCCAUACCUCUUGCCGCACCACCAUAUCAUCCUAAUUCCCUUCUAAAACCAAAAUCACAUCCAAAAACACCCUAAAACCCUCUCUGCCGCAGCAAGGAGAAGAAGAAAGAGGAGCUUGAAGUCAGAAAUUCAAAGUGGAAUUCUUGGGCGUUUUAGGUGUAAUCUUUCUUAUGUCUUCGAUGUUUCAAUUCAAUAAACUUUGUUGUGUGAGUAAUGAGGAACUAAACCCCCUUAGUUGGGGGGUAAUUCGAAACCAUGUACAUGCUUGCAAUUUGAUUCGAUUACAUUCAGUUGUUAUUUCAUAAGUUGUGGAUUCAAUUCGUUCAUCUAUUUGAUUGAUAACUUAUUUGUGUAUGUUGAUUGAGAGUGCACGCUUAGUUUUCAUGCAUGAAUAUGAUGCUAGAUUAUGAGGGAGUUUCACCUAAUAGUUACAAUCUUAUAAUCACAAGUAGUGAAGAUCGCUUGAAAACGAUCGCGUUGAAUGAAUUCUUAGCAUAAGUUUCAUGCAAUUCAUAGUAACGAAUGCUUCAUCAAUGCUUAUGUUUUUCAUAGAACUUAAUGAUUCGUGCUUGUAUCUCUAUUAUGCAAUUCAUGUAGGGAACUUGUAGGGAAUGUUUUGGGUUGUCGUAUGCAAUCAUUCAACUUGAUAAAUUCUGGAAAAACUGAGGGUUAAUUAGUGCAAUUCACGGUUAAUUCGGGGCAUUGAGUCUUUAUAAUUUAUUGGAAGAACAACUGAAAAUCGUUUUGUUUGCAAGUGUGACAUGUGUGGAGAAGAACCUCCUAACUAGCCUUUUAUCCAUCUAGUUCACCAAAAUCGUUUUUACAAUCUGUGCUAGUUAAAGUUUCGUCCAAAACAAAUCCCCCUUUAAUUUGAAGUCUUAGAAUAGUUAGAAAGUGUUUUGAUUUGUGUUUCUAAGUAUUUUGAUUCAAGUUUUCAUCAAAUUUCGUCCAAAUUAGUGUAGGUGCUCAAAACUGCCCAGAAAGUGGUUUUUAGGCAGUUUUGAGCCUUCUAGUUGCUGUUUUGAGUUUUAGGUUUGUUUAAGUGUUUUAACCUUUAGUUUUGCAUUCUUUGAGUCUAGUUUAGUGUUUUAAACUUUGUUUUAUGUUUUUAAGUCAGUUUUCAAGUGUUUAGCAAUCCCUCCUAAUCCCCGGUUUAGAACGAUCCCUACUUACAUCUUUACUACAAUUUGACAAAAAGAGGGUUUAAUUUGAGUGCUAGUUAAUAUCAUAUCAACUUACAAUCCCGGUUGGCGUGAUCAUCCGAAUUUCAAAUGGCGAGACCCCUAACAAGGCCAACAACAAGGCGGAUUUAGGCAACAACCCCCGGGGUUCUAUCAAAAGCCGUUGGCACCACCACAAGUCCAAGCACAACCUGCCCAAUGCAAUGUAGGUAAUUCAAGUGAUAAUGAUAAGAUUUUUCAAUUACUUACUACUUUGACGCAGGAAGUCCAAACUCAAAACAAAGAGAGGCAAAUCCAAGACAAGAGGGUGGACAACUUGGAGAAGCAAGUGGGACAAAUUGCCGAGUUCAUGGGGCAAUUUCGUGAGCAAGGAAGGUUGCCUAGCUCAACGGUGGUCAAUCCGAAAGGUGGAUUUGAAUCUGCAAAAGCUAUGCAUUUGCGAAGUGGAAAGCAAGUCGGAUCUGACCUCAACCCAUCCAAGCCACGUUCCAACGAGGAGGAAGAGUUGAGAAUUGAAGAGGAGGAACAAAGGCCACUCACGGCCAAGGUGGAACCAAAUGUGCCGCAAGUUCCAAGUGAUCCCAAUUCGUCCAAUUCAUCCAAUAAAGGUAAAAACGUGUCAAGUUCAGUUUCUACUAAUGAUUUCCCUGCAAAUGUCCCUUUUCCUAGUAGGUUUAAGCAAACAAAGAAAGAAGAAGCGGAAAAAGACAUUUUGGAGACGUUUCGGAAAGUUCAAGUCAAUAUCCCCCUUUUGGAUGCAAUCAAGCAAGUCCCGAGGUACGCCAAGUUCUUGAAGGAACUUUGCACCAAUAGGAGGAGGAUUUCGACCAAGGAGGUGGUCAAAGUAAGUGAAAACGUCUCAGCCAUCUUACAACGCAAGCUGCCCCCAAAAUGCAAAGAUCCGGGUAGUUUUACAAUUCCGUGUGUUAUUGGUAAUUCUAGGUUUGAAUCUGCCAUGUUACACCUAGGUGCAUCUAUAAAUGUCAUGCCAUAUUCAAUUUAUGCAUCUAUGAACCUAGGAGCGUUGAACAACGAUGGUGUAAUCAUAUAAUUAGCCGAUAGAUCUAACGCUUAUCCAAAGGGAGUUUUGGAAGAUGUGUUAGUGCAGGUUAAUCAUUUGAUCUUCCCGGCGGACUUCUACGUACUGGAGAUGGAUGAAUCGGACCAUGCCCCCUCAUUACCCAUCCUCCUUGGAAGGCCAUUCAUGAAGACUGCUAGGACGAAGAUUGACGUCUAUAAUGGCACUCUAACGAUGGAAUUUGAUGGGGAAGUUAUUAAUUUCAACUCUCUGAUUCUAUGAAGUUUCCUAAUGAAACCCAUUCAUGUUUUGCUAUUGAUGUAAUUGAUGCUUUGUCGCAGGACCAUUUGGUCAAUUUGAAGGAUGAUGCACUUGAUUUGGCCAUUGCACAAGGAAAGACGUUGAAGGACAUGGAAUCAAACCCCAAGGAAGCCCACGGAAUGCAAUUGGAGUCCAUUGCCGUGCUCCCUAGUGAAGAAGUCUUUGAGAUGGUGGCUGCCCUUGAGUCAUUGCCAUCACAAUCGGGUAAGUAUUCGGACCCUAUUUUAAGUUCAGUUUCGGCUAAUAAAAUGCUUCCCUCAGUGGUACAGCCACCUACACUUGAACUUAAGCCGUUACCUAGUCAUUUGAAGUACGUUUUCUUGGGCGAGAAUGAUCGGAUCAUAUUUAUAUAUAUUUUUACUUCAAAUUCACUCGUCUUUUCUUAGUUAGUUCCUUAUAUUUUUGAGCUAUUUACGUUAUUUUGUGUUUAUAGGAUUUGUUAUGCAAAGAAAAUAAAAAUGGCACAAAUGAGUUUUAAAUAAUAAAUUCGUCGAAAAUUGCUUUAGUUGUUCUCAUUCUGUCAUGGGUUAUUGGUAGAAUUAUGUCACGGAUUAUAGGUCUGAAUGCGGAUCUGAGAAAUUGGAUGCGUGGGUUGGGAUGCUGGUUUAUAUUAUGCAUGGAUUGGUGAAUUGGGAAGUGUGUGGCAGUGAUGAUCAUGAAUGGUGUUUCCCUCGGACUAAAACUUGUUAUGCACACCCUAGAAUCUAAGCUUAAUGUUGAGAAUUUUAUAUGCUAUAAUUUAUAUCACCAUGCACGUAGUCUCAUUUUCACUAUUUCUUCUCACAAAGGGAAACUUGAAAAGUUAAAUAAAGAUAGAGAAAGAUAGGAAGAAGGUAAUUAUUUAUUCAGCUUUACUUGCUCGAUCUUGAAAUCGUUGUCAGAGAAUCAAAGAUGUUCCCUUCUUAUAGACUGUAAGUUAUGUGGAUAAAUGACAUUUUCGAUUGGCUAGUUUUAUGUUUUCGAAGUGUGUUUAUUUUCUAAUUGGAAGCCUGAUUCAAACUUGUUAUUUACUAACUAAAUUUUGUCAGGUUGGGAUCAGAGUUUGCACUGAGGUUUUAUUAAACUUAAAGAUAUUUGGUGGAAUGCGGUAGGUGGAGAAUAAGCUGCCUUUGGCAGCAUGUGAAGUAAAAGCAGCACUAGGCCACUUGCAGCGUGGAGCGCAAAAAUAAGAAACAAAAAGAAUAGGCACUUGCAGCGUGAGUGUGGUGGGUGAGGCAUUAGCCUCGGGAGAGGGCAGCCUUGAAAAACGGAAAGAAGAAUAAGGAACCAGGGGAACGCUGCCCCUUGGCAGCGAGAGAGAGGAACCAAGGAAAAGAAAACAGAAAACAAGCAGAAAAGCUGCCUUGAGCAGCUUGUUUUUCUGUGCGUGGCUGCACUUGGCAACACUAGAGGCGGAAAGGGUAGAGCAGUGCGCAGGAGGAGAGAAGCACAGAAAACUGUGCAGAAACCAGGAGGUCAGAGAGGGAUUGACAGAGGCAGCGUGAAGCCUCGGCAGCAAUAGCACAGAAGCAGAAGCUUCACUCAAUCUUUCGGUUAAAUCUUUCCAAAUUUAUAUUUCAUUUCUAUUUUAAUAAUGUGUAAAUAAACUUAUUUUGGCUAGAGGUUAAUUCAAAGCCAUGAAUAUAUUUGUAAUAUGAAUUGAUUACCUUCAGUUGUGAUUUCUGAGUUGUGAUUUAAUUUGCUUAACUGCUUGAUUGAUAACUUAUUUUUGUAUGUCGAUUAAGAAUGCAUACUUAAUUUACAUGCAUGAAUUUGAUGCUAGAAUAUAAGUAAAUUUCACCUAAUCGUUAUGAACUUAUAUUCACAAGUAGUGAAGGUUGCUAGUCACAAUCACGUUAAGUAAAUUCUUGGCAUAAGUUUCAUGCAAAUCAUAGUAACGAGUGCCUCGUCAAUGCUUAUGUUUUUCAUAGAACUUAAUGAUUCUUGCUUGUAUCUCUAUUAUGCAAUUCAUGUAGGGAACUUGUAGGGAAUGUUUUGGGUUGUCGUAUGCAAUCAUCCAACCCAAUAACUUGUGGAAAAACUGAGGGUUAAUUAGUGCAAUUCACGGUUAAUUUGGGGCGUUGAGAUUUACAAUUUAUUGAAAGAACAACUGAAAAUCAAUUUAGGUUGCAUAUGUGUCAUGUGUGGAGAAGAACCCUCUAGCUAGUCCGUCACCUAUCCUUUCACCUUAAUUCAUGCUUUUGUCAAUUCUGUAAUUUAUUUAAGUUUAAUUUACUUCUCGUCAAAACCAAAACCCCCAUUAUUAAAUUAUAUUAUUUAGUUAGUUUUCAUUGUUGUUAGUCUUUUAAUUCAAUUUCCGUCCAUUGCAGUUCCUAGUGUCUAAUUUGAUUGUUUUCAUUAUUUUGAGUCAUCCUAAGUGUGUUUCGAGUUAUUAGAGUUUUUAGCCUAGUUUUGUGUCCUUGAGUCUUGUUUAAUAUUUUUAAAUUAUUUUAGAAUAGAUUACCAAUCCCUCCUAAUCCCCAGCCUAGAACGAUACCCUACUUACAUCUAUACUACAAUUGUCAAAAAGAGGGUUUAAUUUGUGUGUCAAGUAAUUUUCGCAUCAGAGAAUGACACGUUGCCCGUCAUUAUUUCAUCCUCACUCACGGCACAAGAAGAGAGCAAAUUGGUGCGAGUCCUUAAGGAGUACAAAACGGCAAUUGGAUGGACAUUGGCCGACAUCAAGGGAAUUAGCCCUACUACAUGCAUGCAUCGCAUACUUCUAGAGGAGGGGUCCAAAACAUCCCGAGAGGCUCAACGCCGUCUCAACCCUCCGAUGAUGGAAGUUGUGAAGAAGGAGGUAAUCAAGCUGUUAGAUUGUGGCGUAAUCUAUCCAAUCUCGGAUAGCAAGUGGGUCUCACCCGUUCAAGGCGUUCCGAAGAAAUCUGGAGUGACUGUGGUUGCAAAUGCCGAGAAUGAACUUGUUCCUCAACGCAUUCAAACCGGUUGGAGGGUGUGCAUCGAUUAUAGGAAGCUAAACGCCGCAACAAGGAAGGAUCACUUCCCAUUGCCGUUCAUCGACCAAAUGCUUGAGAGAUUAGCCGGGUAUGCUUUCUAUUGUUUUCUUGAUGGUUAUUCUGGUUAUAAUCAAAUUGUCAUAACACCCGAAGAUCAAGAAAAAACCACUUUUACAUGCCCCUUCGGUACUUUUGCAUAUCGUCGCAUGCCUUUUGGUUUAUAUAAUGCACCGGCUACAUUUCAAAGAUGUAUGAUGAGCAUAUUUUUGAUAGGAGCAUAUUUAUGCGCCUUAAUUAGCUAGUUCUUAUGCAUUUCCAUGGUGUUUUCUUAGUUAAAGUAGUCUUUUAAGCUAGUUUUAUGUGUUUUCAGGUUUUAAGGCCAAAGGAUGCAAGAAGAUGGAUUUUGGAGCUUUUUGGAGCAAAAUUGGGCUUGGAAUGAUUAUCACAUAAUUGGAGCCAAGGUUUGGACGAAUUUGAAGAUUUGAAGAUGAUGAUUCCUACUUGAACAAGGUUUCCUAGUUGAAGUAGGAAAGUGCUUACAUGAAGGAGGAUUCCUAAUCGACGAAGGAUUCCUAAUCAACGAAGGAUUCCUAAUCAACGAAGGAUUCCUAAUUGAAGAUGGAUUCCUAAUCACAUGAGGAUUCCUAGAAGAACAAGGAUUCCUACUUGAAGUAGGAAAGUUAAGCCAAGGUUUCCUACUUUGGUUUGAUUUUUCCUAAUUGUCCCUAAAAGUUUCAGCAAUUAUGAAGACUUUCUAAGCAUUCUAGGACACAAAACAACAGCCUAGAACCUGAUAGGAGCAUAUUUAUGCGACUUUGUUAUCUUGUUUUCUUGCAUUUACGUUGUUAGUUAUUGUUUAUUAUAGUGAUUUAAGCUAGUUUCGUGUGUUUGUAGGUUCAUAUGGCAAUUGAAGCAAGAAAGUGCAUUUUGGUGCAUUUUAGAGCAAAAAUGAGCUUAAAUGGAAUGUAUGCUUAUGGAGCAUAGGGAAUGGACAAGUUUGAAGGUCAAAGGAGUUUAAGAAAUGAAGAAAUGAAAGUGAAGAACAAAGAAGUCGGAAUUGGCAACUAAAGUUUCUAAAGUUGGAAGUUUCUAUUCUUGGAGGUUUCCAUUUUCGAGAGUUUCUAUUCUUGGCUUUGGGCUUUUGGAUGACCCAUCUUUGCCUCUUGGACCUAUGCCGCACCUAACCCUAACCCUAGCCCACUUAAUCAGCCGCACCUAGGCCUUGUUCACAUGAAAAAAAAUCUGAUUACUUACCCUAAGCCCAUGCCGCACCUAAUGUUCUAGAAACCCUAGUUUUUGGUGGAUUUCCUAACCCUAGCCGCACCCUAAACCCUAGCCCAUUACUUGUGCUGAUUUCUCUAGGGUUUUGUGGUGCCUAUAAAUACAUAUUUUAGGGUUGAAUCACCUGAAUUUCGUCCAUACUUCCAGCCACACCAUUCUACACAUCCAAAAACCCCAAAAACACAAUUCUAGCCAUUUUUCUUCCUUGCCGCAAGCCAUCUACCACCAUUCUUCCAUAUUUUCUAACCUUCCCCCAUCCUUUUGCCGCAACACAUCCAUUCCACCAAAGAGAGGAGCUUUGCCGUGACCUUUGGAGAGGAGGAAGGCUUUGCCGCAUGCAAUCUUCAACCAUUGGAGUUUCUAGAGUUCUUUCUUCCCUUGUUUCUGUUUUCAUGUUUAAUUUAACUUGCUGUUCAAUUAUGUUAGACAUGUGGAACUAAUUUCUUUUUAGUUAGAGGUGAAUUUGAAGCCAUGGACAUAUGUUUCUAUGAUUUGAUUUCUUCCAAUUAUGAUUUCAGAAAUUGUGAAUGAGAUUUACUUAUCUAUUUGAUUGAUAACUUGUUUAUGUAUGUGGGUUGAGGGUCGACACUUAAUUUGCAUGCUUAA
RNAcentral lists this long non-coding RNA (16293 nucleotides) under Malus domestica (apple). RNAcentral's name for it is "long non-coding RNA (MDOM_LNC020671)". Lineage: Eukaryota; Viridiplantae; Streptophyta; Magnoliopsida; Rosales; Rosaceae. The record is from RNAcentral.